CGCGCAGGCGGUCGUUCAAGUCGGAUGUGAAAGCCCCCGGCUCAACUGGGGAGGGUCAUUCGAAACUGGUCGACUCGAAGGCAGGAGAGGGUAGUGGAAUUCCCGGUGUAGUGGUGAAAUGCGUAGAUAUCGGGAGGAACACCAGUGGCGAAGGCGACUACCUGGCCUGUUCUUGACGCUGAGGCGCGAAAGCUAGGGGAGCAAACG
RNAcentral lists this ribosomal RNA (207 nucleotides) under uncultured bacterium. RNAcentral's name for it is "partial 16S ribosomal RNA". It matches the Rfam family "Bacterial small subunit ribosomal RNA", at positions 568 to 774 of the family's 1533-position model. The record is from RNAcentral.